CAGGAUCAUCAUGAUAAAGAAGUUGGACACGUAAAGUUAAAGAAAUGUUUGUCCAAAGGUGAAUAUGAUAGAAAGAAUCAUAAUUUUUGUGAAAGAGAAUGAUUAAAGUACAUCCAACUGAAUAAACAGAAAAGCAAGAAGCAAUGGAGUUGAGUGGUACGUAUAUUAUAUCAACACUUCUACAACAUCCACUGCUUAAA
Molecule: long non-coding RNA, 200 nt
Filed under: Vigna radiata
Lineage: Eukaryota; Viridiplantae; Streptophyta; Magnoliopsida; Fabales; Fabaceae
Description: long non-coding RNA (VRAD_LNC003310)
Source: RNAcentral